Zonotrichia leucophrys gambelii is the source of this 668-nucleotide long non-coding RNA. RefSeq lists it as uncharacterized. Lineage: Eukaryota; Metazoa; Chordata; Aves; Passeriformes; Passerellidae. The transcript has 4 exons. The record is from RefSeq and is a predicted model, not a curated record.
AGAGGACUUCUGGCUUUUUUCCAGGGUACCUGACUGUCUUAUUGCAUACUGGUGUCAUCCAGGGCAUCCAACAUGAAGAUGUCUAAUGUUAACGAUAAAGAAAAUUACUUCCCUGUGAUCAGGAUUGGAGUGAGCACAAGUGGCAUCACUGUUCUGUCAGUUUCCCAGGCAUGAUGGAACAGCCCAAAUUCCAGCUGAUCUGCAAACCUGUGCACUUCCCUCUGUAGCUGUAGUAGCAGUGUGGUGGAUUGCUUGUCUGUCCUUCUACCAGACUUACCACAGAGUCUAUUUGGCAACAUUUAAAGGCAAAUUAUGUUUUCAUUCCAGGGAUUGCAAGGGGAUGUUAUGGAGAGAGUAUGGUUCCCAAGCAGCCCUGUUAUCAAUAGGCAGCUAAGAAGGUACAUUAGGAACUUAGAAAUAUUAAAUGCAUCAGGAAGAAGAAAAAAAUUGAAUUACUGUGGUGUUUUCAACCAGAAUUUCAACUCCUGGUUUUGACAUUGCCAGGCUAUGGACACCAAAGGGAGCUGUGCUUUCCAGGAGGCUCCUGGGUUUGGUGCCUACACCACUCAAAGCCAGGACUUUGCUUCAAAUCUCCCUUUUGGGAUGAAAAGAGGGCUGCUCCAAGGCCAUGGAUUGAGGACUGAGCAAGUCCAGUUCACAGUUUUGAA